Olea europaea var. sylvestris is the source of this 168-nucleotide long non-coding RNA. RefSeq lists it as uncharacterized. The record is from RefSeq and is a predicted model, not a curated record. Lineage: Eukaryota; Viridiplantae; Streptophyta; Magnoliopsida; Lamiales; Oleaceae. The transcript is spliced from 2 exons.
CUCUUCUAAUCAAAAGAGAGGAUUCGUGAUUAUCACUGCUCAUUUCAUAGAUGAUGCGUGAAAAUUACAGAGUCGAAUCAUGAGGUUUAUAUAUGUGCCGUGUCCACACACUACUGAUGUGCUUUCAGAAACUUUAUUAAGCAGCUUGAUGGACUGGAAUAUUGAUUG